RNAcentral lists this ribosomal RNA (432 nucleotides) under uncultured bacterium. RNAcentral describes it as "partial 16S ribosomal RNA". It matches the Rfam family "Bacterial small subunit ribosomal RNA", at positions 30 to 506 of the family's 1533-position model. The record is from RNAcentral.
AGCGAACGCUGGCGGCAUGCUUAACACAUGCAAGUCGCACGGGCAGCAAUGUCAGUGGCGGACGGGUGAGUAACGCGUAGGAACGUGUCCUGAGGUGGGGGACAACCCCGGGAAACUGGGGCUAAUACCGCAUAUGGGCUGAGGCCCAAAGCCGAGAGGCGCCUUUGGAGCGGCCUGCGUCCGAUUAGGUAGUUGGUGGGGUAAAGGCCUACCAAGCCUGCGAUCGGUAGCUGGUCUGAGAGGACGACCAGCCACACUGGGACUGAGACACGGCCCAGACUCUGGCGGGAGGCAGGGGGGGGAGAAGUUGGAGAGAGGGCCAAAACCUAAUCCGAAAGGCCCGCGGGGGUGAAAAGGGGCUUGGGAACAAAAAGCCCUUCCGGCGGGGAGGAUGAUGACGGGACCAGAAAAAAAAGCCCCGAUUAACUCUGG